GGCCGCACAAUCAAAUCGGUUGGAGGCUCGUCGUCACGUCAUCUGCCCGCUCGUGUAGAUCUUUCGUCGGCGUUGGGGAGACGGACGUUUAGUGAAUACGCACGCACGAUAUAGUAACGAUCCAAUGCUGAAUUUGAUCGGGUCAACCUAUCACGAAGACGGUCGUGUUGAUCAAACCGACAAAUAAAUCGCUACUAUACGUUUGCACGUAUACACCAAUCCGCCGUCGUCGGAGAAGAAAAAGAAAGAGGCCAUGAGCCCUCCUCAUGCGCCGUUGUCGUUGUCUAAGUCAUCACAGCGCUGCCGACGUCGUCGCGCCGUUGUCGAAGUCGUCGCGGUCGUCGUCGUCGCGCCGUUGUGGAAGUCGACGCCGUCGUCGUUGUCGAAGUCGUCGCCGUCGUCAUUGUCGUCGUCGUCGCCGCAAAAUGAAAGCCGAGCCUUUCUUUCUUUCUUUU
RNAcentral lists this long non-coding RNA (455 nucleotides) under Ananas comosus (pineapple). RNAcentral's name for it is "long non-coding RNA (ACOM_LNC034601)". Lineage: Eukaryota; Viridiplantae; Streptophyta; Magnoliopsida; Poales; Bromeliaceae. The record is from RNAcentral.